This 491-nucleotide ribosomal RNA is filed under the name uncultured bacterium. RNAcentral's name for it is "partial 16S ribosomal RNA". It matches the Rfam family "Bacterial small subunit ribosomal RNA", at positions 29 to 507 of the family's 1533-position model. The record is from RNAcentral.
AGUGAACGCUGGCGGUAGGCCUAACACAUGCAAGUCGAACGGCAGCACAGUAAGAACUUGCUCUUACGGGUGGCGAGUGGCGGACGGGUGAGGAAUACAUCGGAAUCUACUUUUUCGUGGGGGAUAACGUAGGGAAACUUACGCUAAUACCGCAUACGACCUACGGGUGAAAGCAGGGGAUCUUCGGACCUUGCGCGAUUGAAUGAGCCGAUGUCGGAUUAGCUAGUUGGCGGGGUAAAGGCCACCAAGGCGACGAUCCGUAGCUGGUCUGAGAGGAUGAUCAGCCAUACUGGAUCUGAGACACGUUCCAGACUCCUACGGGAGGCCGCAGUGGGGAAUAUUGGACAAUGGGCGCAAGCCUGAUCCAGCCAUACCGCGUGGGUGAAGAAGGCCUUCGGGUUGUAAAGCCAUUUUGUUGGGAAAGAAAAGCAGCAGGUUAAUACCCAGCUGUUGUGACGGUACCAAAAGAAUAAGCACCGGCUAACUUCGUG